Molecule: ribosomal RNA, 490 nt
Filed under: uncultured soil bacterium
Lineage: Bacteria
Description: bacterial SSU rRNA
Rfam family: Bacterial small subunit ribosomal RNA
Source: RNAcentral
AGAUUGAACGCUGGCGGCAUGCCUUACACAUGCAAGUCGAACGGCAGCACGGGAGCAAUCCUGGUGGCGAGUGGCGAACGGGUGAGUAAUACAUCGGAACGUGCCCAAUCGUGGGGGAUAACGCAGCGAAAGCUGUGCUAAUACCGCAUAAGAUCUACGGAUGAAAGCAGGGGAUCGCAAGACCUUGCGCGAAUGGAGCGGCCGAUGGCAGAUUAGGUAGUUGGUGAGGUAAAGGCUCACCAAGCCUUCGAUCUGUAGCUGGUCUGAGAGGACGACCAGCCACACUGGGACUGAGACACGGCCCAGACUCCUACGGGAGGCAGCAGUGGGGAAUUUUGGACAAUGGGCGAAAGCCUGAUCCAGCCAUGCCGACGUGCAGGAUGAAGGCCUUCGGUUGUAAACGUGUCGUUUGUACGGAACGAAAGUCUCUUUACUAAGUAAAGAGGAUCAUGACGUACCGUAAGAAUAAGCAACCGCUAACGUACGUACG